RNAcentral lists this ribosomal RNA (460 nucleotides) under uncultured bacterium. RNAcentral describes it as "partial 16S ribosomal RNA". It matches the Rfam family "Bacterial small subunit ribosomal RNA", at positions 338 to 795 of the family's 1533-position model. The record is from RNAcentral.
CCUACGGGCGGCAGCAGUGAGGAAUAUUGCUCAAUGGGCGCGAGCCUGAUGCAGCCAAGUAGCGUGAAGGAUGACUGCCCUACGGGUUGUAAACUUUUUUUAUAAAGGAAUAAAGUGAGGCACGUGUGCCUUUUUGCAUGUACUUUAUGAAUAAGGAUCGGCUAACUCCGUGCCAGCAGCCGCGGUAAUACGGAGGGACCGAGCGUUAUCCGGAUUUAUUGGGUUUAAAGGGAGCGUAGAUGGGUUGUUAAGUCAGUUGUGAAGGUUUGCGGCUCAACCGUAAAAUUGCAAUUGAUACUGGCAGGCUUGAGUGCAGUUGAGGUAGGCGGAAUUCGUGGUGUAGCGGUGAAAUGCUUAGAUAUCACGAAGAACUCCGAUUGCGAAGGCAGCCUACUAGACUGCCACUGACAUUGAUGCUCGAAAGUGUGGGUAUCAAACAGGAUUAGAUACCCGAGUAGUC